RNAcentral lists this non-coding RNA (187 nucleotides) under Acidobacteriota bacterium. RNAcentral's name for it is "Acidobacteria bacterium 6S RNA". It matches the Rfam family "6S / SsrS RNA". From Rfam's summary of the family: E. coli 6S RNA was the first non coding RNA to be sequenced, but its function was unknown until recently. It consists of 184 nucleotides that fold into an extended hairpin structure with a large single-stranded internal bulge. Lineage: Bacteria; Pseudomonadati; Acidobacteriota. The record is from RNAcentral.
GUAGGCCUGCGAGGUUGGUGCGGGCACGACGGUUAUUUGAACCAAUGCCGUCAAAACGGGAGCCUAGCUCGCUCUUCCGGUGUGCCAGAGUCUGCGUUGCAGAGCUUGAGGCCUGAAGGAAAGCGGAGGGCACCCACCUCGUGAAGAGGUUCGAAUCACCAGUGUCACACGGCUGAGCGGGUCACUC